UGGGGAAUUUUGGACAAUGGGCGAAAGCCUGAUCCAGCAAUGCCGCGUGUGUGAAGAAGGCCUUCGGGUUGUAAAGCACUUUUGUCCGGAAAGAAAUCCUUGGCUCUAAUACAGUCGGGGGAUGACGGUACCGGAAGAAUAGGCACCGGCUAACUACGUGCCAGCAGCCGCGGUAAUACGUAGGGUGCAAGCGUUAAUCGGAAUUACUGGGCGUAAAGCGUGCGCAGGCGGUUUGCUAAGACCGAUGUGAAAUCCCCGGGCUCAACCUGGGAACUGCAUUGGUGACUGGCAGGCUAGAGUAUGGCAGAGGGGGGUAGAAUUCCACGUGUAGCAGUGAAAUGCGUAGAGAUGUGGAGGAAUACCGAUGGCGAAGGCAGCCCCCUGGGCCAAUACUGACGCCCAUGCACGAAAGCGUGGGGAGCAAACAGGAUUAGAUACCCUGGUAGUCCACGCCCUAAACGAUGUCAACUAGUUGUUGGGGAUUCAUUUCCUUAGUAACGUAGCUAACGCGUGAAGUUGACCGCCU
RNAcentral lists this ribosomal RNA (526 nucleotides) under uncultured bacterium. Its description in RNAcentral is "partial 16S ribosomal RNA". It matches the Rfam family "Bacterial small subunit ribosomal RNA", at positions 355 to 874 of the family's 1533-position model. The record is from RNAcentral.